This is a non-coding RNA of Penaeus vannamei (Pacific white shrimp), 341 nucleotides long. Lineage: Eukaryota; Metazoa; Arthropoda; Malacostraca; Decapoda; Penaeidae. The record is from RefSeq and is a predicted model, not a curated record.
GAGUGAAAAAAAAAAUCAAAUAUCUCUCUCGUAAUGGUUUUGAUAUGUGUAAAAUCGUAGUUUUUCGUGUUUAAUGAGGAUUUCAAUAAGGAUAGUUUAGGAUUUUGUGAGUGAAAACGUAAAAAACAAAACACAAAACCCGCGCCAUGACAGGCCGUGGCGCGCGGGGCAGAGCCAGGGGGCGCCACCUGCGAGAAGAACAAGAGAACAUCGCCGUGCGCAGACCCGGCCAGGAAAAACUCGAGACCCAGUUCGCUAACCUACGAGUAAGUGACAGCGACAGAGACAGCGCUUAUGGUGGAAGUAGAGGAAGAGGAGGAGGAGGAGGAAGAGAGGAGGAA